RNAcentral lists this unclassified non-coding RNA (240 nucleotides) under fungal sp. RNAcentral's name for it is "partial internal transcribed spacer region". The stretch from base 1 to 46 matches the Rfam family "Eukaryotic small subunit ribosomal RNA", at positions 1786 to 1831 of the family's 1831-position model. The record is from RNAcentral. Lineage: Eukaryota; Fungi.
AAGUCGUAACAAGGUUUCCGUAGGUGAACCUGCGGAAGGAUCAUUAUGAAUUGUGUUGUUUUGACUCUUUUAAAAGAGUCUCAACUCCUUUUCUGUGAACUGGAUUCUUUUUGUGUGCGCUUACUCCUGUGAGUGAGUGUUGCAAAUCGAAUUGCUUUUAUUUGUUUUCUGUUGUCAUUGUUCUUACAAGUUUUCUUUUUUAAUCAAAGACAACUUUCAGCAAUGGAUCUCUUGGCUCUU